UAUGUGAUCGUCUCUCGCAUAUCAAUAAGCGGAGGAAAAGAAACUAACAAGGAUUCCCCUAGUAACGGCGAGUGAAGCGGGAAGAGCUCAAAUUUGAAAUCUUAAAGGGUUUCCCUUUACGAAUUGUAGUUUAAAGAAGUGUUUUCUGUUGAGGUUUUGGUAAAAGUUCUUUGGAAUAGGACAUCAUAGAGGGUGAGAAUCCCGUAUUUGACCUUUACUUUCAACUUUGUGAUACACUUUCAAAGAGUCGGAUUGUUUGGGAAUGCAGUCCAAAAUGGGUGGUAAAUUUCAUCUAAAGCUAAAUAUUGGCGAGAGACCGAUAGCGAACAAGUACCGUGAGGGAAAGAUGAAAAGAACUUUGAAAAGAGAGUUAAACAGUACGUGAAAUUGUCAAAAGGGAAGCGUUUGACACCAGUGUUGUUUUUCUGAAAAUCAAUUAAAGAACUGUUUAUGCUAAGCUGUUUAGACUUUAUCAGCUAUCUGUUUAGUUUUGAGCUUUUCUUUAAUGCACUUUUCAGUUAACAAGUCAACAUCAAUUUCUUUUGCUGUAAAAAAGCUUGAGGAAGGCGGCUUGAGAUUCGUCUUAAGUGUUUAUAGCCUCUUGCCUAUGCAGUCGGAGAGAUUGAGGUCUGCAGCGUAGAUCCUUUGGGGCUAAAUGCAUUUGUGCUAAGUUAUAGCAUUUUAUAGACAACUUGUUGACUAUGAUUUGUCUUGUAGCUUACUCGCUUAUGUUAUUUUACCUACGCUUAGGAUGUUGAAGACUCUACAGAGAUA
RNAcentral lists this ribosomal RNA (774 nucleotides) under uncultured Neocallimastigales. RNAcentral describes it as "partial large subunit ribosomal RNA". It matches the Rfam family "Eukaryotic large subunit ribosomal RNA", at positions 24 to 633 of the family's 3401-position model. Lineage: Eukaryota; Fungi; Neocallimastigomycota; Neocallimastigomycetes; Neocallimastigales. The record is from RNAcentral.